CAACAGGCUUCCGUACCUUGUCAAUUCCCAAUGCAGUGAAGCAGGCUAGCUUAGUUAAAGUACAAAGCCAGCAGUCAUAACUUAACUUCCAUAGAGUUUGGAGAAUAUAUGCCUAUGUACCAAAUUCCUGCAGAGGAGUUGAGUCACCGUCAUCCAUCAUCCGGCGGGAGACAGACAGGAUGGGAGAUGCUGCCCUCUGCCGGACAACCUCCGUAACUGCAGGUCACCUCUAAUUCAAUCUAUGAACUUCCAUCCAUCCAUUUCCUACCGCUUAUUCCCUUUUGGGGGCGCUGGUGCCUAUCGCAGCUACAAUCGGGCGGAAGGCGGUGUACACCCUGGACAAGUCACCACCUCAUCGCAGGGCCAACACAGACAGACAACACUCACAUUCACACACUAGGGCCAAUUUAGUGUUGCCAAUCAACCUAUCCCCAGGUGCAUGUCUUUGGAGGUGGGAGGAAGCCGGAGUACCCUAAGGAAACCCACGCAGUCACGGGGAGGACAUGCAAACUCCACACAGAAAGAUCCCGAGCCCGGGAUUGAACCCUGACUACUCAGGACCUUCGUAUUUUGAGGCAGAAGCACUAACCCCUCUGCCACCAGGAAGCCCAAAAAAGAGUCAUAUCUUUUUUAAUUUUUUUUUGGUCCUCUCCAGCUUUUCCGGCAAAUCCUAUAAUUGAUGUAGAGUAUUAUCUUUUAGACACAGAACAGGGCGAUUUGGCGUAGGGAAGCGAUACAACAUAUAUCACACGAGGACUGUUACUUAAACUUACAUUGUUGGACGAGAAAUUACUACAAGAAACAUUUUGCCACGACACUAACUACACAAAAGUAAAGAAAAAGCAAAGAGACAUAAAAGUAUUCAAAGGCAAACAUUUUAUUAAAUUCCUUCACAAAAAAAAAAAAGUGAACUGCAGCAAUUAAGGCAAAAAUAUAUAUUUUGACAAUCAGGAUGCUGGAUCCAUUUAUUUAUUGAAUGUUUUUGUAUUAAUAAACCGUCUUUGAAUUCUGCUUUAUAUUUAUUUACAUUUAUAUAUAUAUAUGUACAUA
This is a long non-coding RNA of Nerophis ophidion (straightnose pipefish), 1050 nucleotides long. RefSeq lists it as uncharacterized. NCBI's taxonomy places the organism in Eukaryota, Metazoa, Chordata, Actinopteri, Syngnathiformes, Syngnathidae. The record is from RefSeq and is a predicted model, not a curated record. The transcript has 3 exons.